RNAcentral lists this ribosomal RNA (373 nucleotides) under uncultured bacterium. Its description in RNAcentral is "bacterial SSU rRNA". It matches the Rfam family "Bacterial small subunit ribosomal RNA", at positions 524 to 898 of the family's 1533-position model. The record is from RNAcentral.
GACGGAGGGGGCUAGCGUUGUUCGGAAUUACUGGGCGUAAAGAGCGCGUAGGCGGCUUAGCAAGUUGGAAGUGAAAGCCCGAGGCUUAACCUCGGAACUGCUUUCAAAACUGUUAGGCUAGAGUAUAGUAGAGGGUGAUAGAAUUCCUAGUGUAGAGGUGAAAUUCUUAGAUAUUAGGAGGAAUACCGGUGGCGAAGGCGAUCACCUGGGCUAUUACUGACGCUGAGGCGCGAAAGCGUGGGGAGCAAACAGGAUUAGAUACCCUGGUAGUCCACGCCCUAAACGAUGAGUGCUAGAUAUCGGGAGCAUAGCUUUCGGUUUCGCAGCUAACGCAUUAAGCACUCCGCCUGGGGAGAACGGUCGCAAGAUUAAA